CAGCAGCCGCCACGGUAAUACGUAGGGUGCAAGCGUUAAUCGGAAUUACUGGGCGUAAAGCGUGCGCAGGCGGUUAUAUAAGACAGAUGUGAAAUCCCCGGGCUCAACCUGGGAACUGCAUUUGUGACUGUAUAGCUAGAGUACGGCAGAGGGGGAUGGAAUUCCGCGUGUAGCAGUGAAAUGCGUAGAUAUGCGGAGGAACACCGAUGGCGAAGGCAAUCCCCUGGGCCUGUACUGACGCUCAUGCACGAAAGCGUGGGGAGCAAACAGGAUUAGAUACCCCCGUAGUCCCUGUCUCUUAUAC
Molecule: ribosomal RNA, 304 nt
Filed under: uncultured bacterium
Lineage: Bacteria
Description: partial 16S ribosomal RNA
Rfam family: Bacterial small subunit ribosomal RNA
Source: RNAcentral